This 86-nucleotide transfer RNA is filed under the name Prevotellaceae bacterium. Its description in RNAcentral is "tRNA-Leu". It matches the Rfam family "tRNA". From Rfam's summary of the family: Transfer RNA (tRNA) molecules are approximately 80 nucleotides in length. Their secondary structure includes four short double-helical elements and three loops (D, anti-codon, and T loops). The record is from RNAcentral. Lineage: Bacteria; Pseudomonadati; Bacteroidota; Bacteroidia; Bacteroidales; Prevotellaceae.
GCCCUGAUGGUGGAAUUGGUAGACACGCAGGACUUAAAAUCCUGUGAGCAGUAAUGUUCGUGUGGGUUCAAGUCCCACUUGGGGUA